This 478-nucleotide ribosomal RNA is filed under the name uncultured bacterium. RNAcentral describes it as "bacterial SSU rRNA". It matches the Rfam family "Bacterial small subunit ribosomal RNA", at positions 26 to 507 of the family's 1533-position model. The record is from RNAcentral.
UGGCUACGAGGACGAACGCUGGCGGCGUGCUUAACACAUGCAAGUCGAACGGAAAGGCCCUGCUUUUGUGGGGUGCUCGAGUGGCGAACGGGUGAGUAACACGUGAGUAACCUGCCCUUGACUUUGGGAUAACUUCAGGAAACUGGGGCUAAUACCGGAUAGGAGCUCCUGCUGCAUGGUGGGGGUUGGAAAGUUUCGGCGGUUGGGGAUGGACUCGCGGCUUAUCAGCUUGUUGGUGGGGUAGUGGCUUACCAAGGCUUUGACGGGUAGCCGGCCUGAGAGGGUGACCGGCCACAUUGGGACUGAGAUACGGCCCAGACUCCUACGGGAGGCAGCAGUGGGGAAUAUUGCACAAUGGGCGGAAGCCUGAUGCAGCAACGCCGCGUGCGGGAUGACGGCCUUCGGGUUGUAAACCGCUUUCGCCUGUGACGAAGCGUGAGUGACGGUAAUGGGUAAAGAAGCACCGGCUAACUACGUG